RNAcentral lists this ribosomal RNA (573 nucleotides) under Triticum aestivum (bread wheat). RNAcentral's name for it is "partial small subunit ribosomal RNA". Lineage: Eukaryota; Viridiplantae; Streptophyta; Magnoliopsida; Poales; Poaceae. The record is from RNAcentral.
AUGUUUCGAGCUCACGGUCAGAUUUACCACAACAUCUUCUCAUUUGGUCCAACUCAAGAUGGGCCAAAGCAUUUGGAACUCUACUUCUAUGAUGACGAUCCCGGUUUACAACAUAGGUUUCGGCGCUCCCUGAACCUAGACCGAGAUGUCAUUCGAAGGCUUGUUGACAUCCUGAAGGAUAAUCCUUAUUCUGAAACGUUCAGGAAUCUAGGUGGAGUCGAUGACCUUGAGGAAUACCGUAUUGAACUGAACACCGACAUGAGGUUGGACCAACGGAGGUAUAAUGUGCCUAUAUCAUCGGAGGUUGCAGCUAUUUGGGUUGAGGGUAGUGAACUCUGUAAGUACUUUGAGCGUAGCAUAGUAUUGUUCGGAAACGACAGCAAGAGAUAUAGCAUCCAACCAUAUUAUGGAUGUUAUGAUCCGUUGUCUUACCCUUUAUUCUUCCCAAGAGGGGAGAUUGGUUGGCAUCCUGAAAUCCCAAAGAAUGGUGUUAGCUUGAAUGAGAUGCUUCAGUCCCGUCGCAGUGGUCGACAGAGUCUAGGUAAUUCAUAUAAUGAAAAUAACAUGUGUUAA